Molecule: ribosomal RNA, 464 nt
Filed under: uncultured bacterium
Lineage: Bacteria
Description: partial 16S ribosomal RNA
Rfam family: Bacterial small subunit ribosomal RNA
Source: RNAcentral
ACGAACGCUGGCGGCGUGCUUAACACAUGCAAGUCGAACGGAAAGGCCCUGCUUGCAGGGUACUCGAGUGGCGAACGGGUGAGUAACACGUGGGUGAUCUGCCCUGCACUUCGGGAUAAGCCUGGGAAACUGGGUCUAAUACCGGAUAGGAGCCAUUUUUAGUGUGAUGGUUGGAAAGUUUUUUCGGUGUAGGAUGAGCUCGCGGCCUAUCAGCUUGUUGGUGGGGUAAUGGCCUACCAAGGCGGCGACGGGUAGCCGGCCUGAGAGGGUGGACGGCCACAUUGGGACUGAGAUACGGCCCAGACUCCUACGGGAGGCAGCGGUGGGGAAUAUUGCACAAUGGGCGCAAGCCUGAUGCAGCGACGCCGCGUGGGGGAUGACGGCCUUCGGGUUGUAAACUCCGUUCGCUAGGGACGAAGCUUUUUGUGACGGUACCUAGAUAAGAAGCACCGGCUAACUACGUG